RNAcentral lists this long non-coding RNA (1562 nucleotides) under Carica papaya (papaya). Its description in RNAcentral is "long non-coding RNA (CPAP_LNC013891)". Lineage: Eukaryota; Viridiplantae; Streptophyta; Magnoliopsida; Brassicales; Caricaceae. The record is from RNAcentral.
CCAUUGGAGGGCUAAGGAAUAUCAUACUCAAAGCCAAGGACUACCAGUUAUACUCCUAAACCAUCAGUCUUCUGCAAGAACCCAAGCAAUUCGCUCCUAAGUUCAACAUAAAGAUUAAUGUGAAUUUGUGUAAGGGAUGCAAUCAGAGUAUGAAAUGGCAAACAGUUAGUUUUUUUUUUAACAGGAAGAUAAAAUGCCUUACCAGACUGCAAGAAGAUUCCCAGUAGGCCUUAACGAUUUUCCUUGCUUCAGACUCCAUUGUGCAUCUUGUUCUUGGUGUAAUUUGAGCUUGUGUGCCGUAUGUGUUAUCCUCUCGUAGUUAUUGAUUGUGCAUAUUCGAUCAUGAAGGCAAUUUCAGUUUUUGAUUGUCCAUAUUUGUCAUAGGCGGAGAAGGUAACUUCAGAAUAGCAACAAAACAUGGCUUUUAAAUCAUAUAAUAGCAGCAUUCUACCAGGAUCAUUAGGAUACUCCAUCAUGCAGCUUAAAAUCAAAGAUUGGAGGAUGUCCAUAUUAUGACUCCAAGACAAAAAAGGAAUGAUAGUGAAACAUGCAACCAGCAUCUUACUAAAUCAAAGCUAACAAUAACCCCAACUUCCUAACAUUCAAUCAGUUCCAUAUAGCUAUGAUAGCAAGUCGUGAUAUGACGGACUGAAAUAAGACAGAAAACCAGAGGUCAAGAAUCCUGCUACAUAGUUCUCGAGCCCCUUCUACAACCCUAUCUAAUCCUCACGUAGCUACCAGAAGAUACAUGAGACAACAAUUAUUAUUCAGAUACAAUGCAGCUCACACUUGUAGACUAAGAUGUCUCGUAUUUCUCGAAAAUGUGAUCCAAUUGAUGAUAAAGAAACAGAGUUCUUGGUUUAGUUCUCCACCUCAAUGGUAGAAAAAAAAUGAUUGAUCAACUUCUAUUGAGUUUGACUCAUAAUGAUCAGUUAUCAAAAAAUUACUAUAGUUAUUAAAUGACUGAACAAUUGGGAACAAUUUAUUUAUAAUAUAAUUAAAACUCAAAAUUUUUCCCUCACUUUAAAUGCUGAAACAAUCUACUAGCGGGUGGCGUUAUUUGCCUUCAUUAUGCAAUCUCACUUCUUUGUAUAAUUAAAGACAAAUGAACAUAAUGCAAAACCUUUUUUGGUUUAGAUUGAGACAUACCCAGCACCAGCUACAAUGAAAAUGCAUGUUCUUGUUAUUUAAGACAACAAAGUCAAUCCAUCCAACCAAGUAUAAGUAACUUGGUUUCUAAUACCAUAAGCAAUAUCAACUGUUCAACCAGCAACUAACUUCUUAAAUAAAAAAAAAAAAAUCCUAAAUACAGAAUGUAUGUCUGGAACAAAUACAUCAAUUUUUGUUGAAUUUGUUUAGAAACCUAGACUUAGUUAAAAUAUAAAAAAAUUCAUUUCCAUAAAAAAAAUUCAUUUCCAAAUAAACUCUAAAUAAGAUUAUAAUACAUUUCAUAUUCUAUCAACAAUUAUAGAAUUCAGGAGUCAAUUAAGAUAGGUCAAAAGGGAAGUUGGUCCAUUUAUUUGGUUUCUAUCUUCAUAAAACCAAUUAGGAUACAUGCUAAA